CUGGCUAUAGAGCGUGGCUGCUCGUCGCUCCACUCCAUUGGAUGGGGAGAUGCUGGAAUUCUGUUCCUCCCCCAUGCUGCUGUCUGGGAGAUGUAGCAGAGACCUCUUCUGAUAGGAAGGGAAACAGAUCCAGAUGGAGGAAACAUCUGAUAAAGUUUGCCUAAACAGCCAGCAGUCUAUCAAUCAUGACUCUUCCAACCCUCAUCCUGCAUCUAUAUCUAGAUUCAAAGAAGUCCAUGCAGGAGGCAGUCUACACUUUUCAAGAGAAAAUGGAAGGACUUCAGAGUUGAUUUGAUGAAGCUCAGUAAAAAACAUAAUUUUAUGUUUCUCUUUUAAGUUGUUGGCUGUUUAUUAUGAAGCCAUUUAAAGAGUUUUCUUGUUUAGCAGUGUAUAUAUACCGCAGAUCAUGGUUACUGAGACUCUAGAUGACAGAAGGGUGUGGUCUGUGUCCUUGGGUGACUUAAAAAUAAAAGCAGAACUUUUA
RNAcentral lists this non-coding RNA (484 nucleotides) under Pongo abelii (Sumatran orangutan). The record is from RNAcentral. Lineage: Eukaryota; Metazoa; Chordata; Mammalia; Primates; Hominidae.